This 497-nucleotide ribosomal RNA is filed under the name uncultured bacterium. Its description in RNAcentral is "partial 16S ribosomal RNA". It matches the Rfam family "Bacterial small subunit ribosomal RNA", at positions 28 to 507 of the family's 1533-position model. The record is from RNAcentral.
GAUGAACGCUGGCGGCGUGCCUAAUACAUGCAAGUCGAGCGAACAGACGAGGAGCUUGCUUCUCGGACGGUAGCGGCGGACGUGAGAGUAACACGUGGAUAACCUACUUAUAAGACUGGGAUAACUUCGGGAAACCGGAGCUAAUACCGGAUAAUAUAUUGAACCGCAUGGUUCAAUAGUUAAAGACGGUUUUGCUGUCACUUAUAGAUGGAUCCGCGCCGCAGUAGCUAGUUGGUAAGGUAACCGCUUACCAAGGCAACGAUGCGUAGCCGACCUGAGAGGGUGAUCGACCCAAACGGAGCUGAGACACGGUCCCGACUCCUACGGGGGGCAGCAGUAGGGAAUCUUCCGCAAUGGGCGAAAGCUUGGCGGAACAACGCCGCGUGAGUGAUAAAGGUCUUCGGAUCGUAAAACUGUGUUAUUAGGGAAGAACAAAUGUGUAAGUAACUAUGCACGUCUUGACGGUACCUGAUAAGAAAGCCACGGCUAACUACGUG